GUUCUCUCUUUGGUAGCACAUAUAUUAAAAUUGGAACAAUACAGGGAUUAGAAUGGCCGCUGUGAAAGGAUAAGAUACAAACAGUGAAGCAUUCCAUAUUUUA
Molecule: small nuclear RNA, 103 nt
Organism: Hyaena hyaena (striped hyena)
Lineage: Eukaryota; Metazoa; Chordata; Mammalia; Carnivora; Hyaenidae
Source: RefSeq, a predicted model, not a curated record